This 462-nucleotide ribosomal RNA is filed under the name Streptococcus sanguinis. Its description in RNAcentral is "bacterial SSU rRNA". It matches the Rfam family "Bacterial small subunit ribosomal RNA", at positions 28 to 474 of the family's 1533-position model. Lineage: Bacteria; Bacillati; Bacillota; Bacilli; Lactobacillales; Streptococcaceae. The record is from RNAcentral.
GACGAACGCUGGCGGCGUGCCUAAUACAUGCAAGUAGAACGCUGAAGAGAGGAGCUUGCUCUUCUUGGAUGAGUUGCGAACGGGUGAGUAACGCGUAGGUAACCUGCCUGGUAGCGGGGGAUAACUAUUGGAAACGAUAGCUAAUACCGCAUGACAUUGAUUAUCGCAUGAUAAUUGAUUGAAAGAUGCAAUUGCAUCACUACCAGAUGGACCUGCCGUAUUAGCUAGUUGGUGAGGUAACGGCUCACCAAGGCGACGAUACAUAGCCGACCUGAGAGGGUGAUCGGCCACACUGGGACUGAGACACGGCCCAGACUCCUACGGGAGGCAGCAGUAGGGAAUCUUCGGCAAUGGGGGGAACCCUGACCGAGCAACGCCGCGUGAGUGAGGAAGGUUUUCGGAUCGUAAAGCUCUGUUGUAAGAGAAGAACGGGUGUGAGAGUGGAAAGUUCACACUGUGACG